CGGAAUUGCUAGUAAUGGCAGGUCAGCAUACUGCCGUGAAUACGUUCCCGGGCCUUGUACACACCGCCCGUCACACCAUGAGAGUUGGGGAUACCCGAAGCCUGUGAGCUAACAGUAAUGGAGCAGCAGUCGAAGGUAGAAUCAAUGAUUGGGGUGAAGUCGUAACAAGGUAUC
Molecule: ribosomal RNA, 174 nt
Filed under: uncultured bacterium
Lineage: Bacteria
Description: partial 16S ribosomal RNA
Rfam family: Bacterial small subunit ribosomal RNA
Source: RNAcentral